UACAGAGGUCUCAAGCGUUGUUCGGAUUCAUUGGGCGUAAAGGGUGCGUAGGCGGCGCGGUAAGUCGGAUGUGAAAUCUCGGGGCUUAACUCCGAAACUGCAUUCGAUACUACCGUGCUUGAGGACUGGAGAGGAGACUGGAAUUUACGGUGUAGCGGUGAAAUGCGUAGAUAUCGGAAGGAACAUCAGUGGCGAAAGCGACUUCCUGGACCAGUACCGACGUUCAGGCACGAAAGCGUGGGGAGCAAACAGG
This 253-nucleotide ribosomal RNA is filed under the name uncultured bacterium. Its description in RNAcentral is "partial 16S ribosomal RNA". It matches the Rfam family "Bacterial small subunit ribosomal RNA", at positions 524 to 776 of the family's 1533-position model. The record is from RNAcentral.